Molecule: long non-coding RNA, 1124 nt
Filed under: Mus musculus (house mouse)
Lineage: Eukaryota; Metazoa; Chordata; Mammalia; Rodentia; Muridae
Description: long non-coding RNA chr11:100563848-100564972
Source: RNAcentral
UGCUUGGUUCCCUAUUUGUUUGCUUUGUUUUGUUGAAUUGAUGAAUGAAUUUAGUUAGUAGGUUAGUUUUGUUUUUUGAGACAGGGUUUCUCUGUGGAGCCUAGUUGUCCUGAAACACACUCUGUAGACCAAGCUGGCCUUGAACUCACAGCUCCUCCUGCCUCUACCUCCCUAGUGCUGGGAUUAAAGGCGUGCGCCGCCGCCGCCACCACCUCCCAGCUUUGUUUUAAGUUUUAAAUCAUAUUUUUAACGAUUUCUUUGAAGAUUUCACAGAAUGUAUUUUUACCUGCCCUCCUCCAGUUCCUCGCAGAUCCACCAUCACUUCCCUUCCCACCAAACCUUGUGUUAUCUUUUGCUUUGAGCCCACUAAGUCCAAUCUGUGUUCCCCAACUACGCUUGGGGGUGUGGGGCCUGCCUUAGACUGUGAGCCACCUACCAGGGGCUCACACCAUGAAAGAGAACUGACAGCUCUCAGGAGCCAGUAGAUCCUCAGCUGGGGGCAGGGAUCUAUUCCAUCACUCCCCUUCCGUGUCGGGAUUUCGUGCAGCUCAGACGGGUCCAAGUCUUACACAAGCUGUCCUAACUGCUGUGCGUUUAUAUAACAACUACCCGGUUGUGUUUAGAAAACACUGUUUUCGAGAAGUCGUCCAUCUGGCUCUUAGCAAUCCACCUGCUCCCGCCCUGUGAAGAUCCCUGGGACUCAGGAUGACGUGAUGACGUGAUGACGGGAUGACGUAGACAUCCCACGUAGGCUGGGCACUCUGCAGUCAGUUAUCCCCUGCAUGUUGACUGGUUCUGCAUUAAUUGCCAUUUGCUGCAAGAGGAAGCCUUUCCGCUUAGAGCAGAGAGACGCGCUCACUCGUUAGGAGUCAGUUGGGUGCUAGAUUUAUUCAGUAGUAGUGUGUUCUCUCCCAGGGCGUUAUCACCUAUCUGGCCACAGGAUCUUGGCCCCAUAGACAGUGCGAGCUAUGGAUUCCAUCUUUAGACUGGGGCCUUAAACGCCCUGUCCCCACCCCUAAAAAAAAAUGGUUGGUUGUUUCCAUAUCUCUUCUGCCACUGUUGCAGCCAUGGGUUUAUCUUGCUAAGCCAGUCAUUAUUUUUGCUUCUGGGAUUUAGAACUGGGU